ACUUCUGGGAUAAGCCUGGGAAACCGGGUCUAAUACUGGAUACGACCCCCUGUCGCAUGGUGGGGGGUGGAAAGGGUUUGACUGGUUUUGGAUGGGCUCACGGCCUAUCAGCUUGUUGGUGGGGUAAUGGCUCACCAAGGCGACACGGGUAGCCGGCCUGAGAGGGUGACCGGCCACACUGGGACUGAGACACGGCCCAACUCCUACGGGAGGCAGCAGUGGGGAAUAUUGCACAAUGGGCGGAAGCCUGAUGCAGCGACCCGCGUGAGGGAUGACGGCCUUCGGGUUGUAAACCUCUUUCAGCAGGGAAAAGCCACAAGUGACGGUACCUGCAAAAAGCGCCGGCUAACUACGUGCCAGCAGCCGCGGUAAUACGUAGGGCGCAAGCGUUGUCCGGAAUUAUUGGGCGUAAAGAGCUCGUAGGCGGUUUGUCGCGUCUGCUGUGAAAAGCCCGGGGCUCAACCCCGGGUCUGCAGUGGGUACGGGCAGACUAGAGUGCAGUAGGGGAGACUGGAAUUCCUGGUGUAGCGGUGAAAUGCGCAGAUAUCAGGAGGAACACCGAUGGCGAAGGCAGGUCUCUGGGCUGUUACUGACGCUGAGGAGCGAAAGCAUGGGGAGCGAACAGGAUUAGAUACCCUGGUAGUCCAUGCCGUAAACGUUGGGCACUAGGUGUGGGGGACAUUCCACGUUCUCCGCGCCGUAGCUAACGCAUUAAGUGCCCCCGCCUGGGGAGUACGGCCGCAAGGCUAAAACUCAAAGGAAUUGACGGGGGCCCGCACAAGCGGCGGAGCAUGCGGAUUAAUUCGAUGCAACGCGAAGAACCUUACCAAGGCUUGACAUUCACCGGACCGCCUCAGAGAUGGGGUUUCCCUUCGGGGUCGGUGGACAGGUGGUGCAUGGUUGUCGUCAGCUCGUGUCGUGAGAUGUUGGGUUAAGUCCCGCAACGAGCGCAACCCUCGUUUAUGUUGCCAGCACGUGAUGGUGGGGACUCAUAGGAGACUGCCGGGGUCAACUCGGAGGAAGGUGGGGAUGACGUCAAAUCAUCAUGCCCCUUAUGUCUUGGGCUUCACGCAUGCUACAAUGGCCGGUACAAAGGGUUGCGAUACUGUGAGGUGGAGCUAAUCCCAAAAAGCCGGUCUCAGUUCGGAUUGAGGUCUGCAACUCGACCUCAUGAAGUCGGAGUCGCUAGUAAUCGCAGAUCAGCAACGCUGCGGUGAAUACGUUCCCGGGCCUUGUA
Molecule: ribosomal RNA, 1237 nt
Filed under: Kocuria turfanensis
Lineage: Bacteria; Bacillati; Actinomycetota; Actinomycetes; Micrococcales; Micrococcaceae
Description: bacterial SSU rRNA
Rfam family: Bacterial small subunit ribosomal RNA
Source: RNAcentral